AUGGAGACGAGGCCAGCGCAGCUGGCGGCAAGGUCGAUGGACAUGAAGAGGGCGGUGCGCAAGCGGAUGAGGCAGCAGCAGCCGGGCCUUCCAACAUGGAGACGAUGCCGGAGGAGCUCGCGCGGCGCUAACGGACGGGAGGAGGAGGGGGCCGUGGAGCAGAGGAGGCAGCAGUCGCGCCUUCCCCUAUGGGAACGAGGCCGGAGGAGCUCUUGGCGAGGCUGGCCGACGGGAAGGUUCGGAGGAGGCAUCGGCGCGCGAGUGCGAGGCGUACAAGAUGAACAAGCUUACCCGACAUCGUGA
RNAcentral lists this ribosomal RNA (303 nucleotides) under Triticum aestivum (bread wheat). RNAcentral's name for it is "partial small subunit ribosomal RNA". The record is from RNAcentral. Lineage: Eukaryota; Viridiplantae; Streptophyta; Magnoliopsida; Poales; Poaceae.